GAUGAACGCUGGCGGCGUGCUUAACACAUGCAAGUCGAACGAUGAAGCCCAGCUUGCUGGGUGGAUUAGUGGCGAACGGGUGAGUAACACGUGAGUAACCUGCCCUUGACUCUGGGAUAAGCCUGGGAAACUGGGUCUAAUACUGGAUAUGACUUCUCAUCGCAUGGUGGGGGGUGGAAAGAUUUAUUGGUCUUGGAUGGACUCGCGGCCUAUCAGCUUGUUGGUGAGGUAAUGGCUCACCAAGGCGACGACGGGUAGCCGGCCUGAGAGGGUGACCGGCCACACUGGGACUGAGACACGGCCCAGACUCCUACGGGAGGCAGCAGUGGGGAAUAUUGCACAAUGGGCGCAAGCCUGAUGCAACGACGCCGCGUGAGGGAUGACGGCCUUCGGGUUGUAAACCUCUUUCAGUAGGGAAGAAGCGAGAGUGACGGUACCUGCAGAAGAAGCGCCGGCUAACUACGUG
This 466-nucleotide ribosomal RNA is filed under the name uncultured bacterium. RNAcentral's name for it is "partial 16S ribosomal RNA". It matches the Rfam family "Bacterial small subunit ribosomal RNA", at positions 28 to 507 of the family's 1533-position model. The record is from RNAcentral.